UACGUAGGGUGCAAGCGUUAAUCGGAAUUACUGGGCGUAAAGCGUGCGUAGGCGGUUAUGCAAGACAGAUGUGAAAUCCCCGGGCUCAACCUGGGAACUGCAUUUGUGACUGCAUGGCUAGAGUACGGUAGAGGGGGAUGGAAUUCCGCGUGUAGCAGUGAAAUGCGUAGAUAUGCGGAGGAACACCGAUGGCGAAGGCAAUCCCCUGGACCUGUACUGACGCUCAUGCACGAAAGCGUGGGGAGCAAACAGG
RNAcentral lists this ribosomal RNA (253 nucleotides) under uncultured bacterium. RNAcentral describes it as "partial 16S ribosomal RNA". It matches the Rfam family "Bacterial small subunit ribosomal RNA", at positions 524 to 776 of the family's 1533-position model. The record is from RNAcentral.